UCCUUCAGAACCGCUGAUUUCCCGUUGCAAUAUUUGGCUCGAGCUUGCAACUGCUGCAGGUACUCCGGAUACCAUCGAGCCCAAAUGGUUUGCAGAUGUUUUUGUACCAACUGGUAUUCCCUCAAAUAGUUGCUCGGUGUCUCGGUGUAAUCAAUGAUUGGUACCGCUUGCAGAUUGCCACCGAUGAGGAAGUGUCCCGGUGUCAAUGGUUCCAAGUCCGACGGCUCAUCGGAUAGAGGUGUAAUCGGUCGCGAAUUCAAACAUUGCUCUACCUGGGCAAGUAGGCUGCUUUCACCGCCGCCUCCCAUAAACCUCCAAAAUGUGGUGCUCUUGGUGGGAUAAACUUCCACUUCAUCUGAUUCAUCGCGCACCAAUCAAAUAUAGCAGCUCGAUCGUGUUCGUCGCUCUUUAACAUCUUGUAGACGCGAUUCAGCUCAUGUGCCGCUCCCUUAAGGGUGGUUGCAUUGUCGGAAUGCAGUUCACUGAUUUGGCCACGACGUGCAAUCAAACGACGAAGUGCAUUGAUAAAUGCUGUUGAUGUUAAAUCGCCAACCAGUUCGAUAUGUACCGCUCUUGUUGAAAAACAUACAAAUAUGGCGAUGUAUGCUUUAAUCGGA
Molecule: long non-coding RNA, 617 nt
Organism: Anopheles gambiae (African malaria mosquito)
Lineage: Eukaryota; Metazoa; Arthropoda; Insecta; Diptera; Culicidae
Exons: 2
Source: RefSeq, a predicted model, not a curated record